RNAcentral lists this ribosomal RNA (257 nucleotides) under uncultured bacterium. RNAcentral's name for it is "partial 16S ribosomal RNA". It matches the Rfam family "Bacterial small subunit ribosomal RNA", at positions 524 to 776 of the family's 1533-position model. The record is from RNAcentral.
UACGUAGGGUGCAAGCGUUUAUCCGGAAUUAUUGGGCGUAAAAGGAGCUCGUAGGCGGUUUUGUCGCGUCUGCUGUGAAAACUGGAGGCUCAACCUCCAGCCUGCAGUGGGUACGGGCAAACUAGAGUGCGGUAGGGGAGAUUGGAAUUCCUGGUGUAGCGGUGGAAUGCGCAGAUAUCAGGAGGAACACCGAUGGCGAAGGCAGAUCUCUGGGCCGUAACUGACGCUGAGGAGCGAAAGCAUGGGGAGCGAACAGG